This 253-nucleotide ribosomal RNA is filed under the name uncultured bacterium. RNAcentral's name for it is "partial 16S ribosomal RNA". It matches the Rfam family "Bacterial small subunit ribosomal RNA", at positions 524 to 776 of the family's 1533-position model. The record is from RNAcentral.
UACGUAGGGUGCAAGCGUUGUCCGGAAUUAUUGGGCGUAAAAAGCUCGUAGGCGGUCUGUCGCGUCGGCUGUGAAAUCCCGAGGCUCAACCUCGGGUCUGCAGUCGAUACGGGCAAACUAGAGUAUUGCAGGGGAGACUGGAAUUCCUGGUGUAGCGGUGAAAUGCGCAGAUAUCAGGAGGGACACCAACGGCGAAGGCAGCACUCUGGGCCGGUACUGACGCUGAGGAGCGAAAGCGUGGGGAGCAAACAGG